This 492-nucleotide ribosomal RNA is filed under the name uncultured bacterium. RNAcentral's name for it is "partial 16S ribosomal RNA". It matches the Rfam family "Bacterial small subunit ribosomal RNA", at positions 29 to 507 of the family's 1533-position model. The record is from RNAcentral.
AGUGAACGCUGGCGGUAGGCCUAACACAUGCAAGUAGAACGGCAGCACAGUAAGAGCUUGCUCUUACGGGUGGCGAGUGGCGGACGGGUGAGGAAUACAUCGGAAUCUACUUUUUCGUGGGGGAUAACGUAGGGAAACUUACGCUAAUACCGCAUACGACCUACGGGUGAAAGCAGUGGAUCUUCGGACCUUGCGCGACUGAAUUAGCCGAUGUCGGAUUAGCUAGUUGGCGGGGUAAAGGCCCACCAAGGCGACGAUCCGUAGCUGGUCUGAGAGGAUGAUCAGCCACACUGGAACUGAGACACGGUCCAGACUCCUACGGGAGGCAGCAGUGGGGAAUAUUGGACAAUGGGCGCAAGCCUGAUCCAGCCAUACCGCGUGGGUGAAGAAGGCCUUCGGGUUGUAAAGCCCUUUUGUUGGGAAAGAAAAGCAGCAGGUUAAUACCCCGCUGUUCUGACGGUACCCAAAGAAUAAGCACCGGCUAACUUCGUG